UGAAAUUUUCCUGAUUAUAUUCAUGAUCCUGCUGAACUUGAUCUGGUGUCUGCCUAUUUGAAAAAGUUGGUGUUUCUCCCUGUCUUUACAGAUUGCCUUUUUAUCACCAGUCAGACUCUACAUGUAUUCAGAAUUAUCUGGCCAUGGGGGUUCAUGGGAAGGGUGAGCUGGAACUUGGAGUAAUAGGCAAGACAUUGGCUUCCACUCCCCAUCCCUACUCGUUGCUGGCUGGAAUGUAGAAGAGGUAGAGAAAUAUCUUGGAUCACAGAGCAUCUUCCCAUUGGCAGAGCAACAAAGCAGAAGUACCCUCCAUGCCCUAUUCCACAAAUAAGUUGUUGGCUUAUAGUGUUUACCAUGUUCUCUAUUUCCUCUUCAGUCUUCUGUCUAGUGGUUAGAUCCAUUACUGAAAGUUGGUUCUUUUUGUCUCUAAUUAUUACUGUCAAAUUUUCUACUUUGUUUUCGUUUCAGUCAGUUUUUGUUUUAUGCAUACUGUGAUUAUGCUGCUAAAUGCAUAUAUUUUAAUAAAUGUUUUAUCUUCUUGACUUUUUAAACCUUUUAUAAUUAUAAGAUACCCCUUUUAUCUAGUAAUUAUUUUUGGUCUUGAAGUCUCUUUUACUUGAUGUUAAGAUAGCUAUUAUCGGUUACAGUUUUUAAAAUAUCCUUUUUAAAUCUAUCAUUUUACUUUCGUUCGAUUUGUGUGUUUAAAUCUAAUGCGUGUCUUCUGCAUACAGUGUAACAUCAGACCAUUUAAAAAAAAUUCAUUCUGUCAACCUCUACCUUUUCACAGUGUUCAAUCUAUUUACUUUGGUUGUAGUUAUUAAUAAGGUAAGAUUUAUAUCUGCCAUUUUAUUUGUUUUUAUAUACUGUAUGUCCUUUUUAUUAUUUUAUUCCUCAAUUAUUGCACUCUCUUAUGUUAAAUAAAUAUUUUCUACUGUGCUACUUAAAUUAUACUGUCAUUUAUUUUAUUUUAUUUUUGUUAUUUUCUUAGUAGUUGCCCUAGAAAUUAAAAUAGCCAUCUGAAUUUAUAACAAUCUAGUUUAGAUUAAAUCCAAGGUGAUUUAACAUAUAUAAAAAUUUGCUUUUGUAUAUUCCUAUUUUCGCCCUCAUUUGUGCUACUAUUUUUAUACUUAGUACAUAUUUACUCAUUUAUAUAUCACAUGUGGAAGAAAAAGUUACAAAAAUAAAUACAGCUGUACUGUAUUUUGUGUUUACUUUUGUAGUUACUUUUACCAAAGCUCUUCAUUGUAUUGUGUGGACUUGAAUUUUUUUUCUAGUGUCCAUGAGUUUAAAGGAUUUUCUCAAUAUUUCUUUCAGGACAGAUAUGCUGGGUAUAAAUUUUCCUGUUUUAUGUUUAAAUGAGAAUGUCUUAAUUUCUUUCAUUUUGAAGUAUAAUUUUACUGUGUAUAGAGUUCUUGGCUGACUGUUUUUUUUCAGCAUUUUGCAUUUAUCAUCCCAUUGUCUUCUGAUCUUUAUGGCUUCUGAUGAAAAAUCGGCUAGUAAUCUUAUUAAGGAUGCCUUGAUGAGUUGCUUCAAUAUUCUCUCUUUGACUUGCAUUUUGACAGUUUGACUGUGAUGUGUUUCAUUGACUAUGAUGUGUUUCAUUGUGGAUGCUUUGAAUUUUUCAUACUGGAGUUUAUUGCAUUUCUUGGAUGUGUAUGUUCAUGUCUUUCAUCAAAUAUGUGAUGUUUUUGAUUAUUAUUUCUUCCAUACUUUUUCUGUCCCCUUUUCUUUCUCAUCUCCUUAGGAGACUCUUCAUCAUGUGUAUCCUGGAAUGCUUUCAGUGUCCCAGGGGUCUCUGAGGCUUUGCUCUUUCCCUUUUAAAAUUAUUUUUCUGUUAUUUUUUUAACAAAAUAAAUAUUUUAAUUAACCCAUCUUCAAAUUCACUGAUUCUUUCUACACUAUCUUAUAUCUUCUGCUGAAUUACUCUAGUGCAUUUUUAUUUCAGUUAUUGUAAUUAUCAACUCCAGAAUUGCUAUUUUUUUGGUAAUUUAUAUGUCUUUAUUGAUAUUGUUUAUUUGGUUAGACAUUACUCUCAUACUUUCC
This 2043-nucleotide long non-coding RNA is filed under the name Homo sapiens (human). RNAcentral's name for it is "HSALNT0132304". Lineage: Eukaryota; Metazoa; Chordata; Mammalia; Primates; Hominidae. The record is from RNAcentral.